GCGAGUUGAAGCGAGGAUAAACUGUGAUGAAGUCCACAUGAACCUGUGGUUUGACAAUGUGUAUGAGGAAAUAUGGCAUAUCAUCAUCACGGUGUGAUAUGACCAAGUUCCUUGACAGCCACUCUUCCACCUGACAGAAUGAAGGCUGCAUCUGUGUCUCUACUCGACGUGGCUGUGCUGCUUCUGUCUGGAUUAAAAGUGUCUGCAGUCUCUCUGAAUGUCAGUCCAAACCGUCAACAGUUUUUUAUGGGAGAGUCUUUCCGUCUGAGCUGUAAGGAAGAGCAGAGCUCUGCUGGAUGGACGCUGAAGAGGAUAUCAGCAGUAGGCCGACAGAUAGAGACGUGCGGAGCUGCGAAAGGCUUUGGGAGACCCAGUGGUUCCUCCUGCAUCGUCUCAGAUCUCUCUCCAUCAGCAGAUCGAGGCGUUUACUGGUGUGAACACAGCAGUGGACAGAGUAGCAUCAAAGUCUCUAUCACCGUAUCAGAUCGUCCUUUUAUCAUGGAGAUCCCUGCACUUCCUGUGUUGGCAGGAAGUCAUGUGACUCUGCGCUGCAGGAACAGAAAUGGUUCCACCAUUCCGGUUAACUUCUUCAAGUACAGUACCCCGAUUGGAGCUGCACCUGAAGGAGAGUUUACCAUCAGUAAUGUCCAACAGGCUGACGAAGGUUUCUACUGGUGUUCUGCUGGUCAGGCUGCAUCACCAUCGAGCAGGCUGAAUGUCAGAGCUCCUCCCCCCACCAACGCCCCACCCCUCGUCUCUGUGUCUCCUCUGGUCAGGCUGCUCUGCCAUCUAGUGGUCAUCAGUACAUACUGCGUCUCCACCGUCCUGAUGGUGUCCAUCUACUGCUGCAGGAAGACACCAGCCGUCACCAUGGAGAUGGCACAGCGCGUUGAAAACGGGCAGGGAUUGGAUAGCAGCUAUGUUAAUGACGCCGCCGAUGUCACCACUGAGCAUGACUUCUGAGCUGAAGAGUGACGGUCUGUGUGUUCCCGUUAAACUGCACAGCAAUGACGAAUUACUGCAACGGAAGUAUUUCACUUAACACCUGCCAGCUUUUCAAUAUUUUAAGCUGCAAUUAAAGAAAUGGGUCACCUGAAUGACGGACUGGGCUUCAGAGUUACCUUCCUCCUAAUGCAGUCUUCUGCAGUGAAGAACCACAUCAUGUCCCUCCAGCACAGGACGGGCAGGAAGUUCCAGGAUCACAGAACCAGCUGAGCGAUGAGAUGGAAACAUAUUUUAUGUUAAACACUAUUUCUAUAUAUGUUUAUCAGAAAACAUCAGUCAACUAUGCCUUAUUAUUAUUAUUAUUAUUAUGAUUUAAUAAGGGUGUGAAGAGUAUGUUAAAACAAAAGUAUUAUUAAUAUUUACUCUCGCUGUCUACUUAAUCUUAAAUAUUGUCUGUGUGUGAUAUGGUGAACGCAUUCUUGUAUUCUUCUUCUUGCUUUAUUUGUAUGCAUGCAGAUGCUUUUCUACUUUGUAGUUUCACCCUGUACGCUCUGUUUUGUAUUUGUUAGUUAGCAGAAGGUGAGCAUGAAUGUUGGAGGCCUUUCUUGGACUUGUUCAUGUUGCUUGCCCUGUGAGGGGACAGAUUUGAGACAUCUUCCUAAACACAAUAUGCUGUAUGUCACUCAGAAGUGGC
Molecule: RNA transcript, 1639 nt
Organism: Siniperca chuatsi (mandarin fish)
Lineage: Eukaryota; Metazoa; Chordata; Actinopteri; Centrarchiformes; Sinipercidae
Gene name: roundabout homolog 1-like
Exons: 9
Source: RefSeq, a predicted model, not a curated record